RNAcentral lists this long non-coding RNA (567 nucleotides) under Capsicum annuum. RNAcentral describes it as "long non-coding RNA (CANN_LNC008332)". The record is from RNAcentral. Lineage: Eukaryota; Viridiplantae; Streptophyta; Magnoliopsida; Solanales; Solanaceae.
CCCUUUUUGCUUGACUUUCUUCACUUGAUCCGCCUUCUUCACAUAUUUGAUCUUUGUUCUUCAUAUACUCUUCAUCACUGCUACUUGGCAUGCUUAAAAACGAAGCUUUUGGGUUAAAAAUAUAUAAGUCGUUUCGAGUUAAAAAAUUAUGAGCCCUUUACAUGGUUAAAAAUGAGCUUUAUUUUCAAAUAUGUAACAGCAGGAUUAUUGAAAUAUGAUUGACAAUUGUCUCCACAUGUAGUUACAUAAAAUCGUCAUUAUCGCCAAAUUGGUUGCAUCUUGAUUUGAAACUGGUUUGAACCUAUUUAAUCUUGUUUCACCAAACUUUUGGACCUUUGAACAGUAAGCUCUAAUACCAUUUGUUGGGUUCGAAAUCGAGAGGGCAUCAUGCGGAAGCUUAAAUUUUGCAAACCAUAGGACGGUAAUUUAGAUGACAAAGAAAAAUAUACUAUAAACAUAUAUAUAUUAAUAUGAUUUGGUCAAACGACCUACAUGUUAAAAUAAUAUUUAAAAAAAAGUUAAAACCUAUUAGGAGAAAUUUCUCUCUAAACAACUCUUUGAUGUCUA